Molecule: long non-coding RNA, 387 nt
Organism: Ornithorhynchus anatinus (platypus)
Lineage: Eukaryota; Metazoa; Chordata; Mammalia; Monotremata; Ornithorhynchidae
Exons: 3
Source: RefSeq, a predicted model, not a curated record
UUUCCGAGAAGAAAAGAAUGAAGAAAUCAUUGCAAGCCACCUCCUUCCUCUCCUUUCUCCUCCUGGAAGCCCCAAAUUAACUGAAGUUAAAUUAGUCGAUUGAGAGUCAGAGGAGAAUGUGGAGAACAUAUUGGUCACCCUUACAAGAGUUCCUUACGUAAGGCUGUGCACACAGGCAAAAAGAACCAAUGAUGAUAACGUGAAGGAGUUUGUGAUGGCGGAACAGUAGACUUUCCUGGACUAAAUAGCAACCUCCUGGCUUUGAUGAUGACCCUGGCCCACUCUGUGAGAGGAAGCCACACUGCCUAUGAUGCUGUUGAAGGUCAAACUGAAUAAACUUCUGGGAAUAUCAGGUAGGACAAAAUGUGUGGGCAAAUGGGGCCAAUC